RNAcentral lists this ribosomal RNA (117 nucleotides) under uncultured bacterium. Its description in RNAcentral is "partial 16S ribosomal RNA". It matches the Rfam family "Bacterial small subunit ribosomal RNA", at positions 1369 to 1483 of the family's 1533-position model. The record is from RNAcentral.
CGUUCCCGGGUCUUGUACACACCGCCCGUCACACCACGAAAGUCGGCAACACCCGAAGCCGGUGGCCUAACCCGCAAGGGAGGGAGCCGUCGAAGGUGGGGCUGGCGAUUGGGGUGA